UAACUCAGUAAAUUUGGUCACCCAUCA
This 27-nucleotide non-coding RNA is filed under the name Rattus norvegicus (Norway rat). The record is from RNAcentral. Lineage: Eukaryota; Metazoa; Chordata; Mammalia; Rodentia; Muridae.